UACAGAGGGUGCGAGCGUUGUCCGGAAUCACUGGGCGUAAAGGGCGCGUAGGCGGCUUGGCAAGUCGAGUGUGAAAUCCCUUGGCUUAACUAAGGAAUGGCGCUCGAAACUACCUCGCUAGAGGGCGGGAGAGGGAAGUGGAACUCUCGGUGUAGGGGUGAAAUCUGUAGAUAUCGAGAGGAACACCGGUGGCGAAGGCGGCUUCCUGGCCCGUACCUGACGCUGAGGCGCGAAAGCGUGGGUAGCAAACAGG
RNAcentral lists this ribosomal RNA (253 nucleotides) under uncultured bacterium. RNAcentral describes it as "partial 16S ribosomal RNA". It matches the Rfam family "Bacterial small subunit ribosomal RNA", at positions 524 to 776 of the family's 1533-position model. The record is from RNAcentral.